This 504-nucleotide ribosomal RNA is filed under the name uncultured bacterium. RNAcentral's name for it is "bacterial SSU rRNA". It matches the Rfam family "Bacterial small subunit ribosomal RNA", at positions 29 to 523 of the family's 1533-position model. The record is from RNAcentral.
AACGAACGCUGGCGGCGCGCCUAAUACAUGCAAGUCGAGCGAGAAGACGUAGCAACACGUUUGUAAAGCGGCGAACGGGUGAGGAAUACAUGGGUAACCUACCCUAGAGUGGGGAAUAACUAGCCGAAAGGUUAGCUAAUACCGCGUACGCUCCUUGGACUUCGGUACAGGGAGGAAAGCGAUACCGUGGGUAUCGCGCUCUUGGACGGGCUCAUGUCCUAUCAGCCUGUUGGUGAGGUAACGGCUCACCAAGGCUUCGACGGGUAGCUGGUCUGAGAGGACGAUCAGCCACACUGGCACUGCGACACGGGCCAGACUCCUACGGGAGGCAGCAGUAAGGAAUAUUGCGCAAUGGGCGAAAGCCUGACGCAGCGACGCCGCGUGGGGGAUGAAGGUCUUCGGAUUGUAAACCCCUUUCGGGAGGGAAGAUGGAACGAGCAAUCGUUCGGACGGUACCUCCAGAAGCAGCCACGGCUAACUUCGUGCCAGCAGCAGCCGCAGUAA